UGGGGAAUUGUUCGCAAUGGGCGCAAGCCUGACGACGCAACGCCGCGUGGAGGAUGAAGAUUUUCGGAUCGUAAACUCCUGUCGAGCGGGAAGAAUAGCUACGGCGUAAACAUCGCCGAAGCCUGACGGUACCGCUAAAGGAAGCCCCGGCUAACUCCGUGCCAGCAGCCGCGGUAAUACGGGGGGGGCAAGCGUUGUUCGGAAUUACUGGGCGUAAAGGGCUCGUAGGCGGCCAACUAAGUCGGACGUGAAAUCCCCAGGCUCAACCUGGGAACUGCGUCCGAUACUGGAUGGCUUGAAUUCGGGAGAGGGAUGCAGAAUUCCAGGUGUAGCGGUGAAAUGCGUAGAUAUCUGGAGGAAUACCGGUGGCGAAGGCGGCAUCCUGGACCGACAUUGACGCUGAGGAGCGAAAGCUAGGGGAGCAAA
This 426-nucleotide ribosomal RNA is filed under the name uncultured bacterium. RNAcentral describes it as "bacterial SSU rRNA". It matches the Rfam family "Bacterial small subunit ribosomal RNA", at positions 355 to 772 of the family's 1533-position model. The record is from RNAcentral.